RNAcentral lists this ribosomal RNA (253 nucleotides) under uncultured bacterium. Its description in RNAcentral is "partial 16S ribosomal RNA". It matches the Rfam family "Bacterial small subunit ribosomal RNA", at positions 524 to 776 of the family's 1533-position model. The record is from RNAcentral.
UACGAAGGGGGCUAGCGUUGCUCGGAAUGACUGGGCGUAAAGGGCGCGUAGGCGGUUUGUACAGUCAGGUGUGAAAUUCCCGGGCUCAACCUGGGGGCUGCAUUUGAUACGUAUGGACUGGAGUGGGGAAGAGGGUCGUGGAAUUCCCAGUGUAGAGGUGAAAUUCGUAGAUAUUGGGAAGAACACCGGUGGCGAAGGCGGCGACCUGGUCCUUGACUGACGCUGAGGCGCGAAAGCGUGGGGAGCAAACAGG